UGCGUAGGCGGUUUGGUAAGUCUGAUGUGAAAUCUAUGGGCUCAACUCAUAGUCUGCAUCGGAAACUGCCGGGCUUGAGUGUGGGAGAGGUGAGUGGAAUUUCCGGUGUAGCGGUGAAAUGCGUAGAUAUCGGAAGGAACACCUGUGGCGAAAGCGGCUCACUGGACCACAACUGACGCUGAUGCACGAAAGCUAGGGGAGCAAACAGGAUUAGAUACCCUGGUAGUCCUAGCCCUAAACGAUGACUGCUUGGUGUGACGGGUACCCAAUCCCGCCGUGCCGUAGCUAACGCGUUAAGCAGUCCGCCUGGGGAGUACGGUCGCAAGGCUAGAA
Molecule: ribosomal RNA, 333 nt
Filed under: uncultured bacterium
Lineage: Bacteria
Description: bacterial SSU rRNA
Rfam family: Bacterial small subunit ribosomal RNA
Source: RNAcentral